GACGAACGCUGGCGGCGUGCUUAACACAUGCAAGUCGAACGCUGAAGCACCAGCUUGCUGGUGUGGAUGAGUGGCGAACGGGUGAGUAAUACGUGAGUAACCUGCCCUUGACUCUGGGAUAAGCCCGGGAAACUGGGUCUAAUACUGGAUGCUACAUGUCACCGCAUGGUGGUGUGUGGAAAGGGUUUACUGGUCUUGGAUGGGCUCACGGCCUAUCAGCUUGUUGGUGAGGUAAUGGCUCACCAAGGCGACGACGGGUAGCCGGCCUGAGAGGGUGACCGGCCACACUGGUACUGAGACACGGCCCAGACUCCUACGGGAGGCAGCAGUGGGGAAUAUUGCACAAUGGGCGAAAGCCUGAUGCAGCGACGCCGCGUGAGGGAUGACGGCCUUCGGGUUGUAAACCUCUUUCAGCAGGGAAGAAGCCACAAGUGACGGUACCUGCAGAAGAAGCGCCGGCUAACUACGUG
Molecule: ribosomal RNA, 470 nt
Filed under: uncultured bacterium
Lineage: Bacteria
Description: partial 16S ribosomal RNA
Rfam family: Bacterial small subunit ribosomal RNA
Source: RNAcentral